RNAcentral lists this ribosomal RNA (392 nucleotides) under uncultured organism. RNAcentral's name for it is "bacterial SSU rRNA". It matches the Rfam family "Bacterial small subunit ribosomal RNA", at positions 45 to 433 of the family's 1533-position model. The record is from RNAcentral.
UGCCUUACACAUGCAAGUCGAACGGCAGCAUGGAGGAGCUUGCUCCUCUGAUGGCGAGUGGCGAACGGGUGAGUAAAGCAUCGGAACGUGCCGUGUAGUGGGGGAUAACGUAGCGAAAGUUACGCUAAUACCGCAUACGCACCGAGGUGGAAAGCAGGGGAUCGCAAGACCUUGCGCUAUACGAGCGGCCGAUGUCAGAUUAGCUAGUUGGUAGGGUAAAGGCCUACCAAGGCGACGAUCUGUAGCGGGUCUGAGAGGAUGAUCCGCCACACUGGGACUGAGACACGGCCCAGACUCCUACGGGAGGCAGCAGUGGGGAAUUUUGGACAAUGGGGGAAACCCUGAUCCAGCCAUGCCGCGUGAGUGAAGAAGGCCUUCGGGUUGUAAAGCUC